CCAACAUGGAUACCCCAGGAGGUCACUCUCCCAGGGCUCUGUCCAGGUGGCCUAAGGAGCAUAGGGUUCUGCCCGGUAACAUACAGUCCCAUUCCAUGACAUUAGAGAUGAAGCUAGGCCUCAAGCCUGCACCUGCAUAUUUCUACAGCUUCUCAGAGUCCUGCAGACAAUGACUGAGGAGACAAACCAUGCAGGAAACAUAU
RNAcentral lists this small nucleolar RNA (203 nucleotides) under Dasypus novemcinctus (nine-banded armadillo). Its description in RNAcentral is "Small nucleolar RNA SNORA73 family (ENSDNOG00000026563.2)". It matches the Rfam family "Small nucleolar RNA SNORA73 family". From Rfam's summary of the family: U17 (SNORA73A and SNORA73B) also known as E1 belongs to the H/ACA class of small nucleolar RNAs (snoRNAs). Vertebrate U17 is intron-encoded and ranges in length from 200-230 nucleotides, longer than most snoRNAs. Lineage: Eukaryota; Metazoa; Chordata; Mammalia; Cingulata; Dasypodidae. The record is from RNAcentral.